RNAcentral lists this ribosomal RNA (468 nucleotides) under uncultured bacterium. Its description in RNAcentral is "partial 16S ribosomal RNA". It matches the Rfam family "Bacterial small subunit ribosomal RNA", at positions 28 to 507 of the family's 1533-position model. The record is from RNAcentral.
GACGAACGCUGGCGGCGUGCUUAACACAUGCAAGUCGAACGGAAAGGCCCUGCUUUUGUGGGGUGCUCGAGUGGCGAACGGGUGAGUAACACGUGAGUAACCUGCCCUUGACUUUGGGAUAACUUCAGGAAACUGGGGCUAAUACCGGAUAGGAGCUCCUGCUGCAUGGUGGGGGUUGGAAAGUUUCGGCGGUUGGGGAUGGACUCGCGGCUUAUCAGCUUGUUGGUGUGGUAGUGGCUUACCAAGGCUUUGACGGGUAGCCGGCCUGAGAGGGUGACCGGCCUAAUUAGGACUAAGAUACGGCCCAGACUCCUACGGGAGGCAACAGUGGGGAAUAUUGCACAAUGGGCGGAAGCCUGAUGCAGCAACGCCGCGUGCGGGAUGACGGCCUUCGGGUUGUAAACCGCUUUCGCCUGUGACGAAGCGUGAGUGACGGUAAUGGGUAAAGAAGCACCGGCUAACUACGUG